RNAcentral lists this ribosomal RNA (274 nucleotides) under uncultured bacterium. Its description in RNAcentral is "partial 16S ribosomal RNA". It matches the Rfam family "Bacterial small subunit ribosomal RNA", at positions 523 to 796 of the family's 1533-position model. The record is from RNAcentral.
AUACAGAGGGUGCAAGCGUUAAUCGGAUUUACUGGGCGUAAAGCGCGCGUAGGUGGUUAGAUCAGUCGGAUGUGAAAGCCCCGGGCUCAACCUGGGAAUUGCAUUCGAUACUGUCUGACUAGAGUUUAGUAGAGGAAGGUGGAAUUCCAGGUGUAGCGGUGAAAUGCGUAGAUAUCUGGAGGAAUACCGGUGGCGAAGGCGGCCUUCUGGACUAAAACUGACACUGAGGUGCGAAAGCGUGGGGAGCAAACAGGAUUAGAAACCCCAGUAGUCC